This is a long non-coding RNA of Glycine soja, 2191 nucleotides long. RefSeq lists it as uncharacterized. NCBI's taxonomy places the organism in Eukaryota, Viridiplantae, Streptophyta, Magnoliopsida, Fabales, Fabaceae. The transcript is spliced from 9 exons. The record is from RefSeq and is a predicted model, not a curated record.
CACUCACAUUUCAGACCUACCUAGCAUUUGACAGUGUUCAUUCUUUACUUUUGAGUUUUGACUAACUACAAUUAAUCCGUGUAAUUUAUGUUUUAUAGGUGGUUGAUGGGAAGCUUUCUCAAACUUGUUACCUUAUGGCCCUUGAUUCUUGCUAUAAUCACUUAAGUCACAAAUAUGAGAAACAAGAGGGAAAACAAUUUUGUAUUUCUGAUGCAUAAUACUUUGUAUUUCACUAUCCAUACAACAAGCUUCAACACUCUUGGAAGAUGGGGGUGUUCCAAAAGCAGCAAGUUCUUCUACACUCUUGAAAGAGGCCAUCCAUGUAAUUAGUUGUGGUUAUGAAGAUAAGACAGAAUGGGGGAAAGAGGUUGGGUGGAUAUAUGGCUCAGUUACCGAAGAUAUUUUAACAGGUUUCAAGAUGCAUUGUCAUGGUUGGAGAUCUGUAUACUGCAUGCCAAAAAGGCCUGCUUUUAAAGGUUCAACUCCUAUAAAUCUCUCAGACCGUCUGCAUCAAGUUCUUCGGUGGGCUCUUGGAUCUGUUGAGAUCUUUUUCAGUAGGCAUUGUCCCAUAUGCUGUCUGUCUGCUCACAGGGAAGUUCAUUGUCCCCGAGGGAAAUUGAAUCCACGCCAUUGUGAAGAGGACACUAGUUUAGAAAUUUCAAAAUGGAAUCAAGGAAGGAAAAUGCUAUUCAUUCCAUCUGAUGGGUAUUGCUUCUAACAUUGGUGGCUUCAGGACUAACCAUCAUCCUUACAAACUUACAUUUCAGUUUAACACCAAGGUCAUAUUGUUAGAUGAUGGUGCAAUCCCAAACAUUGUGCAUGAUUUGGUGCCUAUUUCUACAAUCAUGGAUGGUGGUCUUGAUUUUGAUUUUUUAGUGGAUGUCAUGGGAUGGGAUUGUUGACUGGUGUUGGAAUUGAGAGAGAGAACGGAAGGAUGGCAAGAAGACCAAGAUGAAUGUGAUUCAACUUGCGAAUGAAAGGAUGAUUGCAAGUAUGGAUUCACCAUCACAAGGCUUGACUUAGCUGACUGAGUCAACCAAAAUGGAUGCAUCCGAAGAAUUUUUUGAAAGCCACAAUGUUAAUAAGUUGAUGUGUUUUCCUGAUUUAUAAUCAAACAUUUUGUUCCUUUAUUAUUGCAGAUAUAUAAUAGAUUGAUACAACACAUUUGAUAUAACAACUGCAUUAAUUUAAAAGACAAGUUAUCAGGCUGACCAAGAAUCAAUUAUAUUUUCAAUAGCACUUGAACCUUACCAAAACUCUUUUAUGUUAUAUGCAGGUUUGUAACCACCUUGAGCAACUCGAGCAGAUGUGUCUUUUCAAAUUCUUGGAAGACAAUUAAGGACUAAGUUUGUACAAAUUUGGUCCUAAAUUACACAUGUUUUGGUGAGGAAGAAUCAUGACCAAUGAUAAAAAUUUACACAUUAUUUUGUGAUGAAGCAUCUGUUGUAAUUAUAAUUUUUUGACAGCAGAUGUUGAAUUGAUUUUUGUAGCUUAUAUUUUUCUCAUAGGAGAGUUGUGAAAGAUAUUUGUUGUCCUUAGACAUUGUCAUAACCAAACAAUGUGAAACACUAUUGCUUUGACAAAUUAUGAUAGUAGAAUUGGGAAGAAAGUUGGUGAAUGAGAGAAAAAAAAUGUCAUACAAGAUAAAGUGAGGCAAAAAUCAAUUUUAUAAACAAUUAUCGCUUACCAGGAUUUCUGCUUUUCAAUUAUACUUAAUGCUAUCUUAUUUCUAUUAGGUAAUCAGAACACUUUAUUUGUUGGCAACAUGAGUCUGAAAAUAUAAAAAAUCCAGAAUAACAAUUUUUGGUUGCUGGCAAAGGCUAAUGGUUUGAUUUGUUUUUGGAAAUUAGGAGUGCAGGGUACGUGGUCUCAUGUUCUAAUUUAAUUUAUCUGGACAACAUGAGACUGAAGGUAACAAUGGUGUGGAAAACUACUCAUACUUGGUGGCAAAGCUCAAUUGUUAACUUUUGUUUUUCGAUCAUCGUAGUGCAUAGACUACUCGAAUUUGGAGGAUCAAAUUAUUUUCUUUGAGGAACUUCUCUAUUGAAAUUAAUUGAUUGAUUUUCAACUUCUAAUUUUGUUUCUAUUCAUUGAUACUGAUUUUUUUUAUUAGUUUAGUCUUUAAAGGGUGUCAAAUUUUAAGUUUAAUAAUAGGGUAAAUAGUUACUUUUGUUCCUCAAUGUGUAAUUCG